AUUGAACGCUGGCGGCGUGCCUAACACAUGCAAGUCGAGCGGUAACAGGUGUAGCAAUACAUGCUGACGAGCGGCGGACGGGUGAGCAAUAUUUGGGAAUCUGCCUAUUAGUGGGGGAUAACCCGGGGAAACUCGGGCUAAUACCGCAUACGCUCUACGGAGGAAAGCCGGGGACCGCAAGGCCUGGCGCUAGUAGAUGAGCCCAAAUCGGAUUAGCUAGUUGGUGAGGAACGGCUCACCAAGGCGACGAUCCGUAGCUGGUUUGAGAGAACGACCAGCCACACCGGAACUGAGACACGGUCCGGACUCCUACGGGAGGCAGCAGUGGGGAAUAUUGGACAAUGGGCGAAAGCCUGAUCCAGCGACGCCGCGUGGGUGAAGAAGGCCUGCGGGUUGUAAAGCCCUUCGGUUGGGAAGAAAAGUAUUGGCCUAAUACGCUAGUACCUUGACGUAACCAACAAAAGAAGCACCGGCUAACUCUGUGCCAGCAGCCGCAGU
RNAcentral lists this ribosomal RNA (498 nucleotides) under uncultured bacterium. RNAcentral's name for it is "bacterial SSU rRNA". It matches the Rfam family "Bacterial small subunit ribosomal RNA", at positions 29 to 521 of the family's 1533-position model. The record is from RNAcentral.